CAGUAGCCCGGGAAUACGGAGGGUGCAAGCGUUAUCCGGAUUUAUUGGGUUUAAAGGGUCCGUAGGCGGACUUAUAAGUCAGUGGUGAAAGCCUGUCGCUUAACGAUAGAACUGCCAUUGAUACUGUAAGUCUUGAGUAUAUUUGAGGUAGCUGGAAUAAGUAGUGUAGCGGUGAAAUGCAUAGAUAUUACUUAGAACACCAAUUGCGAAGGCAGGUUACCAAGAUAUAACUGACGCUGAGGGACGAAAGCGUGGGUAGCGAACAGGAUUAGAUACCCCAGUAGUCCCUGUCUCUUAUACA
RNAcentral lists this ribosomal RNA (301 nucleotides) under uncultured bacterium. Its description in RNAcentral is "partial 16S ribosomal RNA". It matches the Rfam family "Bacterial small subunit ribosomal RNA", at positions 509 to 808 of the family's 1533-position model. The record is from RNAcentral.